AGAGUUUGAUCCUGGCUCAGGAUUAACGCUGGCGGCGUGCCUAAUACAUGCAAGUCGAAUGGUUAGCUUGCUAACCAUGGCGAACGGGUGAGUAACACGUAGGCAACCUGUCUAAGAGACGAGGAUAACCAUUGGAAACGAUGGAUAAUACUGGAUAGGAUAUAAUAAGGCAUCUUGUUAUAUUUAAAGAUUUAUCACUAUUAGAGGGGCCUGCGGCGCAUUAGCUAGUUGGUGAGGUAGGGGCCCACCAAGGCGAUGAUGCGUAGCCGGACUGAGAGGUUGAACGGCCACAAUGGGACUGAGAACGGCCCAUACUCCUACGGGAGGCAGCAGUGGGGAAUAUUGCACAAUGGGGGGAACCCUGAUGCAGCCGACGCCGCGUGAAGGAAGAAGUAUCUCGGUAUGUAAACUUCUAUCAGCAGGGAAGAUGAUGACGGUACCUGACUAAGAAGCCCCGGCUAACUACGUGCCAGCCGCUGC
This 480-nucleotide ribosomal RNA is filed under the name uncultured bacterium. Its description in RNAcentral is "bacterial SSU rRNA". It matches the Rfam family "Bacterial small subunit ribosomal RNA", at positions 8 to 518 of the family's 1533-position model. The record is from RNAcentral.